ACCGUACUCCUACGGGAGGCAGCAGUGGGGAAUCUUGCGCAAUGGGCGAAAGCCUGACGCAGCCAUGCCGCGUGAAUGAUGAAGGUCUUCGGAUUGUAAAAUUCUUUCACCGGGGACGAUAAUGACGGUACCCGGAGAAGAAGCCCCGGCUAACUUCGUGCCAGCAGCCGCGGUAAUACGAAGGGGGCUAGCGUUGCUCGGAAUUACUGGGCGUAAAGGGCGCGUAGGCGGAUCGUUAAGUCAGAGGUGAAAUCCCGGAGCUCAACUUCGGAACUGCCUUUGAUACUGGCGAUCUUGAGUGUGAGAGAGGUAUGUGGAACUCCGAUUGUAGAGGUGAAAUUCGUAGAUAUUCGGAAGAACACCAGUGGCGAAGGCGACAUACUGGCUCAUUACUGACGCUGAGGCGCGAAAGCGUGGGGAGCAAACAGGAUUAGAUACCCGAGUAGUCCUUGAC
This 454-nucleotide ribosomal RNA is filed under the name uncultured bacterium. RNAcentral describes it as "bacterial SSU rRNA". It matches the Rfam family "Bacterial small subunit ribosomal RNA", at positions 330 to 801 of the family's 1533-position model. The record is from RNAcentral.